Apis cerana (Asiatic honeybee) is the source of this 495-nucleotide long non-coding RNA. RefSeq lists it as uncharacterized. NCBI's taxonomy places the organism in Eukaryota, Metazoa, Arthropoda, Insecta, Hymenoptera, Apidae. The record is from RefSeq and is a predicted model, not a curated record.
CGGCACGAUACGGCACACCGCGUUUCUUAACCCCAAAAAGCUUUCUUUACCACCCGAAUGAUAAAUAAUAUCCUUGGCCAAGCAACGAUAUCGCGAGAUAAGUUCGUUCAACUAGUUGACAAGCAUUCGUAUUAUGCUGACAAUUCCAAUCGUACAAACCUCAAUUCACCGAUCAUUGUCUAACGACAAACGUGAUUUUGAUCAAGUAAAAUCUAUAAUCAAUUUAAAAAUUUCUCGAAUGAAAAAUGAACUUACAUGUGCCUUCGCCAUCGGUGUCCAUCCGCCAGCAGUAACCUGGAUUAACGAGUUUCCGGGAUGCGGUUGCUGGAUACUUCCAGCGCAAAGGUUUGCUACUUAAAGCCUCGUGAUCGGAUUCCACUUUGUCGGUUUCGAUAUUGACAGGACUCUGCCUCGAUCCUGCCGCCAUUGGGAACUUCGAUACCCAUGUGCUUGGUCCUGUAACAAAAAAAAUAAAUAUUCUAAUUAGUUUGAUUA